Molecule: unclassified non-coding RNA, 253 nt
Filed under: uncultured Bacteroidota bacterium
Lineage: Bacteria; Pseudomonadati; Bacteroidota
Description: uncultured Bacteroidetes bacterium contains 16S-23S intergenic spacer region
Rfam family: Bacterial small subunit ribosomal RNA
Source: RNAcentral
UACGGAGGGUCCAAGCGGUGUCCGGAAUCAUUGGGCGUAAAGGGUGUGCAGGCGGAAGUCUAAGUCGGAGGUGAAAAGUUGCCGCUUAACGGCAACCGUGCCUUCGAUACUGGAUUUCUUGAGUUCGGAAGAGGUUGGUGGAAUUCGUGGUGUAGCGGUGAAAUGCAUUGAUAUCACGAAGAACACCAGUGGCGAAGGCGGCCAACUGGUCCGAGACUGACGCUGAGACACGAGAGCGUGGGGAGCGAACAGG